GAUGAACGCUGGCGGCGUGCCUAAUACAUGCAAUUCGAGCGAACGGACGAGAAGCUUGCUUCUCUGAUGUUAGCGGCGCACGGGUGAGUAACACGUGGGUAACCUACCUAUAAGAGUGGGAUAACUUCGGGACACCGGGGCUAAUCCCGGCUAAUAUUUUGAACCGCAGGGUUCGAAAGUGCAAGACGGUCUUGCUGUCACUUAUCGAUGGGUCAGAGCGUCAUUAGCUAGUUGGUAAGGUAACGGCUGACCAAGGCAACGAUGCAUAGCCGACCUGAGAGGGUGAUCGGCCACACGGGAACUGAGACACGGUCCAGACUCCUCCGGCAGGCAGCAGUAGGGAAUCUGCCGCAAUGGGCGAAAGCCGGACGGAGCAACGCCGCGUGAGUGAUGAAGGUCUUCGGAUCGUAAAACUCUGUUAUUAGGGAAGAACAUAUGUGUAAGGAACUGUGCACAUCUUGACGGUACCUAAUCAGAAAGCCACGGCUAACUACGUG
RNAcentral lists this ribosomal RNA (497 nucleotides) under uncultured bacterium. Its description in RNAcentral is "partial 16S ribosomal RNA". It matches the Rfam family "Bacterial small subunit ribosomal RNA", at positions 28 to 507 of the family's 1533-position model. The record is from RNAcentral.